Molecule: ribosomal RNA, 101 nt
Filed under: uncultured bacterium
Lineage: Bacteria
Description: partial 16S ribosomal RNA
Source: RNAcentral
CCGCCCGUCACGUCAUGGGAGUUGUCAAUGCUUGAAGUCCGUGGGCUGACCGGUGGAAACACGGGGGGCAGCGGCCGAGGGCAGGGGCAGCGACUGGGACG